Molecule: ribosomal RNA, 253 nt
Filed under: uncultured bacterium
Lineage: Bacteria
Description: partial 16S ribosomal RNA
Rfam family: Bacterial small subunit ribosomal RNA
Source: RNAcentral
UACAGAGGUCUCAAGCGUUGUUCGGAAUUACUGGGCGUAAAGCGUGCGCAGGCGGCGCGGUAAGUCGGGUGUGAAAUCUCGGAGCUUAACUCCGAAACUGCAUUCGAUACUGCCGUGCUUGAGGACUGGAGAGGAGACUGGAAUUUACGGUGUAGCGGUGAAAUGCGUAGAUAUCGUAAGGAAGACCAGUGGCGAAGGCGGGUCUCUGGACAGUUCCUGACACUGAGACACGAAAGCCAGGGGAGCAAACGGG